Molecule: long non-coding RNA, 1048 nt
Organism: Pomacea canaliculata
Lineage: Eukaryota; Metazoa; Mollusca; Gastropoda; Architaenioglossa; Ampullariidae
Exons: 2
Source: RefSeq, a predicted model, not a curated record
AGCAAUACAGAGACUGAGCGUUCACCUACCUUGGCAGCAUACUUAGCAAAGAUGGAGGCGCAGAUGAAAAUGUAAGAAGCCGAAUAAAGAAAACGAACUAUUCUUAUAUCUGACCUCUUCAAGAGGUGGACAAGCAAACAUAACUGUCUCUAUAUCUGACCUCUCCAGCAGCUACAAGUCAAUCUCUUGACUGUCCCCAUAGUUUCGCAAUGAACUGACUGUAGCACUCCAAGACAAAACUGACAGUCAUCGGCUCCCAAGAGACGAAACUUUUUUUUUUAUUCAUCAGCAAGCAUCUGUUGCAGCAACUUUUUGACAGUUGGAUGUAAACAGCAGGCUACCUGUUGUGGUGGGACAGUCGCCACGACUACCUGAAGUCGCACCUGUUGUUUUCUCGGUGUUUGCCGCAGGUAAACUAGACCUGGUAUUUUGCUCGGCCACAGCCCGUGAACUGGCAUGGGGGACAUCAAUUAGCCGCCUGUCAGCAGCACAAAGCGAGGCGCAACUUCUGUACGCAUUGUGUAUAUACUCGCCCCGUGCAGGGCAGGUAAGUGAUGUCAGAACUGUCAAAGGAUCAUCUGCUGUUCGCGAAUAAAAAUCACCUGCUGCCAGGUUUUUUGCGGUGGACUACAGAUGGACAACGCACCUGCUGCUGACCACAACAUCACCAGAAAGCUGGAACAAAGACACGAUGGCAAUGGCAAGAUAAGACAACCAAGGACUUAAGUCUGAGGACCGGAAGUUGAAACUUGACAGGUUGAAUACCUCCACUAGUAUGUCUGAUGACAGGUGACAAGCAGGUUAGGACAGGUGAGACGAAAACUUGAAUGAGCAAAAUACAUCGUGCAUGUUUGAUGGCGAAAACUACAGACUCAACCAUUCCACUACCCACAGGGUUGCUGUCCUCCUCGCAGUCUGCUGGCUGACUUCUUUGACACCUGGAAUAUCCAGCAUCUCCAGGUGUAAGGUACACGUGUAUAAAGAAAUGUGUUCAGAACGUAUUCUGUCCACAGUGAACAGCACAUGAACACCACCAGCAGCUUUGAUU